Molecule: ribosomal RNA, 303 nt
Filed under: uncultured bacterium
Lineage: Bacteria
Description: partial 16S ribosomal RNA
Rfam family: Bacterial small subunit ribosomal RNA
Source: RNAcentral
AGCAGUAGCCGCGGGAAUACGAAGGGGGCUAGCGUUGCUCGGAAUCACUGGGCGUAAAGGGUGCGUAGGCGGGUCUUUAAGUCAGGGGUGAAAUCCUGGAGCUCAACUCCAGAACUGCCUUUGAUACCGAAGAUCUUGAGUUCGGGAGAGGUGAGUGGAAUUGCGAGUGUGGAGGUGAAAUUCGUAGAUAUUCGCAAGAACACCAGUGGCGAAGACGGCUCACUGGCCCGAUACUGACGCUGAGGCACGAAAGCGUGGGGAGCAAACAGGAUUAGAGACCCCUGUAGUCCCUGUCUCUUAUAC